This 9809-nucleotide long non-coding RNA is filed under the name Podarcis lilfordi (Lilford's wall lizard). The record is from RNAcentral. Lineage: Eukaryota; Metazoa; Chordata; Lepidosauria; Squamata; Lacertidae.
GUCUGUGAAAUAGGCAGCAUCAGCAUGAGAUCACAGUGGCCAGUUUUUCUCCCUCAGGUGGCUAGCAUGGGCCACAGUGGGCAGCCCCUGUCCUUCAGGCAGGGAGCAUCAUCUUGUGGGGAGAGGCAUUCAUUCAUCUUCAUUCCUCUUCCACUCAGGCAGGCAGUAGCAUGUGGGCAGAAUAUUUACUGCUCUGCGGAAGCUGCCAAAAGCAGGUACAUGUCAGCACAAUCUCUUUCUCAGUGAGGUGGGCUUAGUUGGGAGCAGAUGUGGACUCUGUAUGUUCUUCUCUUAGUGAGGUGGUCAGCAGAUGUAUGAGUGUAGUGGUCAUCUCACCAAAAUGGGCAGCAGCAUGUGGACAGAGAAGCAGCAGGCAAGGCAAAGAGCAGGCAAGUAGGCAAUCCAUCUAUUACAGGGCCUCUCUGCUUACAGGAAGUGGACACGGGUGGUGCUGUGGUCUAAACCAGUGCAAGUAGAUAAAUAGGUACUGUUGCGGUGGGAAGAUAAAAAGUAAUUCCAUGCACUCUGGUUUCCAUCACGGUGUUCCGUUGCACCAGAGGCAGUUUAGUCAUGCUGGCCACAUGACCCAGAAAGCUGUCUGUGGUCAAACGUUGGCUCUCUCAGCCUGAAAGUGAGAUGAGCGCCGCAACCCCAUAGUCGCCUUUGACUGGACUUAACUGUCCAGGGGUCCUUUACCUUUACCUUGUACCUUAACUGGGUUCUCAAUGCCUCGUGUCACUUCUAGUUACCAAGAAGGAGAAAGGAGAAGCAGUGGGGAGUGGUAGGAACAUUGGAUAGGGUCCACUGCUCUGCUUGGACUGCAGCCAUCUGCCCACUGCCUCAACUUUUCUCCACUCAGUAACUGGCAGCCAUUUGCAGCAUCGGCAGGUCAGGUAAGUAACACCAGCCUCUCAGGCCCUACUGAUUUCAACCUCGGAAAGCACAGUAAGAGAAGGAAAUUCUUGAGAAAAUUGCUUGAGUGGUGCAUUUAAUCCCAAUGGCUGCAGCUCAAUGUCUGUGAUGGGCCUUAAUGACUUCAAUCAAUCUCAGAGAUAAUUGUAUGGAAACAAACAUGGUUGCCCCCAUGGAAAAACCAGAGGCCACCAUGUUUCUUUCCUACAGUUUCCUCAAAGUGCACAGCAUCAAGGAGCCCCAUACGUUGUAGUAAUGAUGAUGAUGAUGAUGAUGAUGAUAAUACAGUAGUGCCUCGCAAGACGAAAUUAAUUCGUUCCGCGAGUUUUUUCGUCUAGCGAAUUUUUCGUCUUGCGAAUCACGAAUUCCCAUAGGAAUGCAUUGAAAAUCAAUUAAUGCGUUCCUAUGGUCAAAAAAAGUCCAAACAAAGCCAAAUUUGGUACAACAACCUCCCCAACUGUUGCAAACCCCUCCCCAACUGUUCCCCCAGCCCCUCCCCAACUGUUGCAAACCCCUCCCCAACUGUUCCCCCAGUCACCCAGCACACAGAAAUUCAAAUCCAGAAUUUUUUUAAAAAAACAGAGUGGCCCAGUGGUCACAGAAAAUCAUAAAAAUGCAGAAAAAAACACACAAGCUUCCAGAUUCCUGCAAACCCUCCCCAACUGUUCCCCCAGCCACCCAGCACACAGAAAAUCAAAAACAGAAUUUUAAUUAAAAAAAAGCAGAGUGGCCCAAUGGACACAGAAAAUCAUAAAAAUGCAGAAAAAAACCACACAAGCUUCCAGAUUCUUGCAGACCCCUCCCCAACUGUUCCCCAGCCACCCAGCACACAGAAAUUCAAAUCCAGAAUUUUUUAAAAAACAGCAGAGUGGCCCAAUGGUCACAGAAAAUCAUAAAAAUGCAGGAAAAAACCACACAAGCUUCCAGAUUCUUGCAAACCCCUCCCAACUGUUCCCCAGCCACCCAGCACACAGAAAUUCAAAUCCAGAAUUUUUUUUAAAAAACAGCAGAGUGGCCCAAUGGUCACAGAAAAUCAUAAAAAUGCAGAAAAAAACACACAAGCUUCCAGAUUCCUGCAAACCCCUCCCCAACUGUUCCCCCAGCCACCCAGCACACAGAAAUUCAAAUCCAGAAUUUUUUUAAAAAACAGCAGAGUGGCCCAAUGGUCACAGAAAAUCAUAAAAAUGCAGAAAAAAACCACACAAGCUUCCAGAUUCUUGCAGACCCCUCCCCAACUGUUCCCCCAGCCACCCAGCACACAGAAAUUCAAAUCCAGAAUUUUUUUAAAAAAACAGCAGAGUGGCCCAAUGGUCACAGAAAAUCAUAAAAAUGCAGGAAAAAACCACACAAGCUUCCAGAUUCUUGCAAACCCCUCCCCAACUGUUCCCCCAGCCACCCAGCACACAGAAAUUCAAAUCCAGAAUUUUUUUUAAAAAAACCAGCAGAGUGGCCCAACGGUCACAGAAAAUCAUAAAAAAUGCAGAAAAAAGACACACAAGCUUCCAGAUUCUUGCAAACCCCUCCCCAACACCAAGUCCUUGAAUUCCAAACACCCCAACCCAAAAUCCAAAAACCCCCCCAAAAUUUUUAAAAGCUUAACUUGGCUGCAAAAGAAGUUAUGGAAUAGCUUCAAAAAUCACCAAAGUCUUUAAAAACCUCAAAAAAGGCUACUAUGUACACUGCGUUCUAUGAGUUGCUCCUCGAAGUCAAGUCGCAACUGUAUUAAUGGUGUUAAGAAAAAGGAAACAAACUUGCAAGACGUUUCGCCUUGCGAAGCAAGCCCAUAGGGAAAUUCGUCUUGCGAAGCAGCUCAAAAACGGAAAACCCUUUCGUCUAGCGAGUUUUCCGUCUUGCGAGGCAUUCGUCUUGCGGGGCACCACUGUAAUAAUAAUAAUAAUAAUAAUAAUAAUAAUAAUAAUUUAUUAUUUAUACCCCAUCCAUCUGGCUGCGUUACCUCAGCCACUCUGGGCAGCUUAGAGCAAAAUAUUAAUAUACAAUAAUUCAUCAAAUAUUAAAAGCUUCCCUAAACAAGGUUGCCUUCAGAUGUCUUUUAAAAGUCAGAUAUUUAUUUCCCUGACAUCUGAAGGGAGGGUGUUCCACAGGGCGGGUGCCACAACUGUGAAGGCCCUCUGCCUGGUUCCCUGUAACUUCGCUUCUCACAGUGAGGGUACGCCAGAAGGCCCUUGGAGCUGGACCUCAGUGUCCGGGCAGAACGAUGGGGGUGGAGAUGCUCCUUCAGGUAUACAGGACCGAGGCCGUUUAGGGCUUUAAACGUCAGCACCAGCACUUUGAAUUGUGCCCGGAAGCGUACUGGGAGCCAAUGUAGGUCUCUCAGGACCGGUGUUAUGUGGUCUUGGCAGCCACUCCCAGUCACCAGUCUAGCUGCUGCAUUCUGGAUUAGUUGUUGCUUCCGGGUCACCUUCAAAGGUAGCCCCACGUAGAGCACAUUUCAGUAGUCCAAGCAGGAGAUAACUAGAGCAUGCACCACUCUGGCGAGGCAGUCUGCGGGCAGGUAGGGUCUCAGCCUGCGUGCCAGAUGGAGCUGGUAGACAGCUGCCCUGGAAACAGAACGCUAGCCACUCCAGUUAGCUUCAUGACCUGUUUGGGUUUUUUUAAAAAAUGCAAUGGGGGGGGGACCUGUUGCAUGUGUAGAGGCAGUGCUGAAGCUCUUGGACCACUAUUGCAGUGUUUUUAAAACCUUCAUAUUCCCAUGCAGAUUUUAAAGGAUUUUCUCUUGAAAAAUCUCACAGAAACAGGAUCAACAAUGCCAUCUCUAGAAGGGACUGCCUUUAAUGGGUCCAUCCAUUCCUCCCCUUGGGGGUGUUUUUUCACAGAGCUUUGUUUCCCAAAAGGGGACCAUUCAUUUUAAGGGGCACCCUCUAAAGUGGACUCAGUGGUGUUGGCAUUUAGUUUUUAAAACAGACUCAGCAAUAGCAAAAUAUAGGGAAUCGUUUCUGUUCUGAAUCACCACAUUCAUAGCGUGACCUAGAGCAGUGGUGGCUAAACUUGGCCCUCCAGCUGUUUUGGGACUACAAAUCCCAUCAUCCUUGACCACAGGUCCUAUUAGCUAGGGAUGAUGGGAGUUGUAGUCCCCAAACAGCUGGUGGGCCAAGUUUGGCCAUGCCUGGCCUAAAGCGACCUGCCCAUCCUUUACAUGAGAUAUACUGAGAAGAUGAAACCAUGAAACUUCAUGAACAGAACCUGCAAAAGCAAGAUGCCUGAGAAAUAUUUGGGUACAGAUGUUUGUACCAGUCAUCACACUCUUUGGAUUUGAUUAGUAAUAACAAAAACAGCGUAUCGUUUCACUCGAUUGCUUGAUUCAGUUCUAAAGUAAUAUUUGUCAUCUUUACAAAGGUUAGAGAUUUUAUUUAAAAAUUUAUGUGGCAAAACCAGGGACUUUAAAAAAUGCAACAUGAUGUUAAAAGGGCAUAGCUGCAGAACCACUAAUUUGCAAGUUGCUGCGAGAGAUGUGCCCCUGGGGUAUAACAAUAUCCUGAUACAGAAGAAUAAUUAUGCAAUAUCCUGAACCACAUUGAUAUGAAAUAGUAAAAUCUAAAAAAAAAAAAAAAAAAAGCAUUUAAAAUGUUGUGCUAUUUUAUGUCCACGUAUGCCCUUAUACUUUUUUAUUUGUGUCAUUGCCAUUUUUAUAUUCUUUUUCAUAUAUAGAAAUAUCAUUUUUGAAAUAUUUACUUUUUUGGUAGUUUGAUAGCACUGUGUAAAAUUACUUUUUGUGAGCAAAGAAAUGGACUGCCUUUGGUAUGUUACUUACAUGGCUGGUUAUGCAUGUUUGUUAAGUUUACGUUUAUCUUCCCGUGUUUCGAUAGAAAGCUUGAUUUCAUAUCCAUUUUCCUUGGUUAUGAAGUGUCCGACUCCACACAUCAUAACUCACAUUUAUAUUGGCUUCUAUUGCACCUCAUAAUAUGCUGAAUUUCCUUCUCACUCUGGUUAUAACGAGUCUCACAUCACAUCAGUGUAUAAUGCUUUUUGGUUUGUAAAAUGUUAGUAUCCCAGAUUAACGAGUCUCUCAUCACAUUUUACAUUAGCUCUACUGGUUUCAGUUAUGCAUUGUAAUUCAAUAAAUUCCAUGUUUUAAAUCACUGUAUGAUUUUAUUGCCUCCUUUUGCACACUGUAACAUAAUAGUGGGCUUUCAUGUACGUGUGUGCAUAUACGCGCAGAAUGUGGUAUAUUUCCAGCUCUUAUAUACUAAGGACAGUGAAGUUUUCAAUGGCCAAACAUCAUGUUUGCUUGUUUUGCAUGCCUUCGAACGACACUGCAAAUCCUGUUGGCUUAUCCUGGAGCAAUAGUUGUGAAAUCAUAUCAUAUUAUACAUAUCAUCAUAUUGUCAAAUUUAGCAACUGAUGAUGGACAUCAUAUCUCAGCAGAACUCUCAUACUUUCUAAUCCUUCUGCAUGUUUCUGGAGUAAGUCCUCCAUACGGACUACAAUUCCCAUUGUCCCUGAUCCUUGGUCAUGCCAGCAGGGAAUUGGAAUCUAACAACAUCCAGAGGAUCACAUUAUGAGUCAUGUGACAAGUGGAGGUGCAUGUGCAAUUUGCAUGGAAGACCGCUUAGGUCCAUGGAUCUCUCCUGCUGGAAUAAGAUACAGGUGUUUGCUUGUGCAACUGGGUAUAUGUCACUAGAGUUGUAACAACCUAGCCCUCAUUUGCCUUCACAGGUAUGGACAAAGGGUUUAAGAACUAAGUUCAUACCAAGGAUCAUAAAGACUAGUGGAAUGGACUUCCUCAGGAGGUGGUGGGCUCUCCUUCCUUGGAGGUUUUUAAGCAGAGGUUGGAUGGCCACCUGUCAUGUAUGAUUUAGUUGAGAUUCCUGCAUUGCAGGGGGUUGGACUAGAUGACCCUCGAGGUCCCUUCCAACUCCACAAUUCUAGGAUUCUAUGGAGUUGUUGGAAGCAGCAGCAAGUAGUCCAUUAAAAGCAACCCCUGCCUGAUGAUGCAGCAAACAGCCUCUGCUUGAAGACCUCCAGCAACUAAGAGCCCACCACACAUCUAGGUCAGAUGUUCUCAAACUGUGCUCCGCCGACCACUUGUGGUCUACAAAUGCCAUUCAGGUGGUCCAUAGAAAGGUUGCAGAAUAGUUCAUAAAACUUAUUGGUCACAGUUUGUCAGUGAUGCUUGUAAGGGCUUCAAUGGGUGGAGCUGCCCAUGGAGCAGAUGCAAAUAUGUAACUCUUAAGGAAAAGAAAAUAACAUUGUGUUUAGGGAAAAUACUAGCCUGGUUGCAUCCCUGCUAGUUGUGCAAAUGGUCCUCAGCUCAUAUGACUUGUUUCUAUCAUUGUUACGUGUCUAAGGAGGAAGGAGUUUGAGAACCACUGCUCUAGGUUCUAUUGUUGAACUGUUCUCACCAUUUAAAAGUUUCUCCUAAUGUUCAACCAUAAUCUGCCUCCUGUAACGUACGCUCAUUAGCUUCUUCUGACACUUCUUCAGGUAUAGGAAGAGCAGUAACAUGUCUUCUCAACUCUGCUAAGAAUACCCAGAACAUACAUGAACUUCAUCUUCUAUUAUUUUUGUGAUACUGCACUUAGUAUAUAAGUGCUAACAUGGAUCAUUGUUGCACUGAUUGAUAUUAUCAUUUAGAAAAAAAGUGCUGCUGAUAUUGAUGAUAAAUAACAGUAUCAAUCAACACAAGGACCUUCCAAGGUAGGUCAGUAUGAUUGCACUGGCAGUACGGAUGAGGAAGAAGGAGAUAACUCACUUGUGAGUUCAUAGUGGAGCUGAAAUUCAAACCAGAUAGUUACUGAUUUGCGGUGUGAUUUUUUAGCCAUUCUGCUACACUCGGUUUCCAUCAAAACUACUAAAAAAAGUUCCACAUCUUUGGCUAUCCUGGCAGUCAUGUGAGCCAGAAGAGUUUACCCUGAAUUUAAUCCAAACACUUCUGAUCAAAAUGUUUUUAGUGUAGAACCACUGGGAACAGUUCUAGUGAUGUCUACUACAGGUUUGUCUGUAAACCCUAUGAGUGGAGUUGAUUUCAAAGGAAAGUCGAAGAAAGCUUUUCUCCAGUGCUGCUGAUGGACCACUUUGAUGGAGGUGAAUUUUUAGGCAACCUGAUGAAGUUUUAUUCAGACCAGGUGUGAACUGUGUGCGUGUUGUUGGGGUGGGGGUGGGGAGACACGACAAGGAAGCAGUUAUCACUGUAAGUGUAAAGAAAAAUAAAACAUUCAUCCUAUUGUCAUCAGGAGGAGAAUGGUAUUGGAAUCAGUUUGAGGCUACAACAUAGUUAUAAGACCCAGAGAAUCACUGAAAACUUUGAAUCCUGUGCCCUGUGUGUUUUCCAGGAGACACAUGAGUCAUAACUGAGGUGGGGAGGGUUCAGGUUUUCACCUUUAAAGCCCUAAACGGCCUCAGCUCAGUAUACCUGAAGGAGCGUCUCCACCCCCAUCAUUCUGCCUGGACACCGAGGUCCAGUGCUGAGGGCCUUCUGGCGGUUUCCUCCCUGCAAGAUGUGAGGUUACAGGGAACCAGGCAGAGGGCCUUCUCGGUAGUGGCACCCGCCCUGUGGAAUGCCCUCCCAUCAGAUGUCAAGGAAAUAAACAACUAUCUGACUUUUAGAAGACAUCUGAAGACAGCCUUGUUUAGGAAAGUUUUUAAUGGUUGAUGUUUUAUUGUGUUUUUAAUAUUUUGUUGAAAGCUGCCCAGAGUGGCUGGGGAAACCCAGGGGUAACAACAUCAACAACAACUUCUAGCCAUGCCCUCUCACCAAUCCCCACACAUUCCAAGGUCCAAUUUACAUCUUACAAAAAGGGAGUCUGUGUAUAUUGGGGAGCAUGGACAUUGGCUUCUGUGCAGGGCGUUUAAACACAACGAGUUCAGGCAUGGCAAGGGACUGGGGCCAGCUGGUGAGAUUUAGACUCCCCCCAGAUGUGUACACAAUAGCUUAGAGAGUUUCUUUGUAGGGUCCAUUCCCCUCGACUGGGACCCUCUUGGCAACUAUAUGCACACCAGUUCUAUCAAAAGUUAUGGAAGGAAAUUUUUCCAACCGAGCAUUUUAUCCCAUUCAUUUGUUUCAGUGUUUUCAAAUUUGUAAACCACCUAGGGUGCUUUGGCAGAAAACCAACAUAUAAAUAAAUAAAUAAAUACCCCACCUCCUGCCAAUAAUUAUGUGCACAUGUACUACUGUGACUGCUGCCUUGAACACAAUUCCAAGUGUUGGUGCUGACCUUUAAAGCCCUAAACGGCCUUGGUCCAGUAUACCUGAAGGAGCGUCUCCACCCCCAUCGUUCUGCCUGGACACUGAGAUCCAACUCUGAGGGCCUUCUGGCAGUUCCUUCACUGCGAGAAGCCAAGUUACAGGGAACCGGGCAGAGGGCCUUCUCGGUAGUGGCACCCGCCCUGUGGAACACCCUCCCACCAGAUGUCAAAGAGAAAAACAACAACCAUACUUUGAGAAGACAUCUGAAGGCAGCCCUGUUUAGGGAAGCUUUUAAUGUUUGAUGUAUUACGGUAUUUUAAUAUUUUUUUGGAAGCUGCCCAGAGUGGCUGGGGAAGCCCAGCCAGAUGGGUGGGGUAUAAAUAACAUUAUUAUUAUUAUUAUUAUUAUUAUUAUUAUUAUUAUUAUUUCCUUAUGGUAGAGAAAUGAUAAGAUAUCUGAUGAAUGAUCUAACGUUUUGCCCCAGCAAGUAGAUUGCAAAGGGUAAUGGCAUUGUGUGAGGAAUAAUUAAGGGAUAAAGGGAGUUUCAGGGAAAGGUGCCAGAAAAUUUCCUUGCUCUUGUUCUUGGGCUCUGCUUGAGGGUUUGCGGGGGCAUCUGGUUGGCCACUGUGAGAACAAGAUGCAGGACUAAAAGGGCCACUGGCUUGAUCCAGCAGGCUCUUAUGUUCUUAUAUUUUGGAGAGCCAAAGUAGACCGGGCAAAUCUAGGUGGACCAAUGGUCUAUUUCAGUAUAACACAUGUUCAUAGGUUUCCAGACAAGGUAUCAAACUGGUGCCUUUUUGAAAUUCAAUGGUGUUUUUAUACCCUAAGUUAGAGGUGAGCUACAAAUUGCACUCUUUGGCUACCAAACAGGUGAUCAAGACAUCUGAAUGCCAUCUUACGGCCAAAUUUGAACAAGUGACAGAAUGGGAUAAUUGGCAGUUUGGAGAGCCCAUGCUCUGCUCAGCUCGUCUAGAAUAAUGAUGACUUCUUACUGAAGCUGCCCUAAACAUCAAAGCUGACAGGGAAGAUCCAGAAUCAGCGUGAUGAAUUGGUUUCAAAAGGACUGGAGCAAAUUUAUACUUUAUAUGAAAGAAAAUUGUAAACAGUUGAAAACGUUUGUAGGUUUGAGUUGAAAUGUUUGGUAAUGGGAAAAUGAGCUGAUUUACAUACAAGAAGGUGAAUGCUAAAAGUUUGACUUAAGGUAAAAAAGUGGAUAUAGGAAUGUGAAGAAAUUGGUAAAGUUGUGUGGAAGUCAGUUAGAGGGAGGGAAGGAGGUUGAUGCUUUAUUUAAGCAAUGCUUUAAGUUAUGGAUUUUUGAUUUUUGAUAUGGAAAUGUAAUGAAAUAUGGAAAACUUAAUAAAAAUCAUAUUAAAAAAAAAGAAGCUGCCCCAAACAUAGAAGGGAAAAGGACUGGAGGGGCAUGAACCAGUUUCCUUGCUCCCUACGGUCCAUGUACCUUUGGAAAGAAGGAAUCUGUUAUUUCCUGAAUCUUCCUCAGCAGAGCAGCUAUUUGCUACAGGGGAAGGAGUUAUUGCAACUGGCUGGGCUACCUCUUCCCAUUAUUCCUUCCGAUGUCAUGGACUGGCUGGAUGCGGAAGAGUGGAGGAACCAGCAGGAGAACCCCCAAAGGAAGAAGACUCAAAGCUAGGGGAUUGCUGGUGGGAAGAUGACAAGUGGUCAGAGGGAGAAGACUGAAGAAGUAACAGGGUUUAGUGAGCAGGAGAGCAAUCCAGAACCAGAGGCAGAAGAGGAG